This is an RNA transcript of Prosopis cineraria, 3087 nucleotides long. RefSeq lists it as uncharacterized. The transcript has 14 exons. The record is from RefSeq and is a predicted model, not a curated record. Lineage: Eukaryota; Viridiplantae; Streptophyta; Magnoliopsida; Fabales; Fabaceae.
CAACGGCACCAACGCAUUUGUACUUUUGUUUUCUCUCUCUCUCUCUUUUGCGCUUGGUCUCGACAGUUCGGCCAGGGAAAAAGAGAAGACUGUUAAUUCGAUUCGCGGCCAUCCACUAACUAAAAACCUCGCCAAAAACCUCCGAGCACCACCUUUCUUUUCGGUAGCGGUUUCCCGCCGAUUCUCCGCCAGAAGGGUGCGACCGGGGGGGGGGACAGUGGACAGGAGUGGCAUCGAAGUGGAGUUCCAAUAUGGACCUUGAAGACAUGGACGCGCCAAGCAAGGUUCCUUCCCGAGUCUCCAGAUUCGCCCCUAAAUCAUCAAAGCUUAAAUUAAAACCCAAAUUGGAACCACAAGAAUCUGCUCCCAAGACUGAAGCCCCAGAAUCAUUGUCUAAAGAAGAACCGCGAGAUUUUGAUUCAGUGACUGCCAAAACGAAAGAGGAAGAAUUCUCGGCUCCCAAUGGCGCCAUGAAAAUGGACGUGGACCCCAAGUCAGAGGCUGAAGAUGAACCAAAACAAGAUGAUCCUAUGGAUGAAGACAGCGCCGAAGAUACAAUUGUGCGCGAAAUCGACGUCUUCUUCACUCCUUCUAUUGCCGCCGACACUCAGUUAUAUGUUUUGCAAUAUCCUUUGAGACCUUGCUGGAGACCGUACGAAUUAGACGAUCGAUGUGAAGAGGUCAGGUUGAAGCCUGAUAGUUCAGAAGUAGAGGUUGAUUUAUCUAUUGACAUCGAGUCUAGUAAUCAUGACAAGGAGUUUGCUAGCAAACUCAAGAUGACGAAACAGACUUUAUCAACUUCGUGGAAGCCACCUUGUACCGAUGGAUAUGCUGUUGGGCUUCUUAUGGGUAAUAAGUUACACCUGCAUCCUAUCCAUGCAGUUGUGCAGCUAAGACCAUCAUUAGGACAUCUUAACUCUGGUGGUUCAAAAAGAAAGGCCAAUAUCUCUACUGGCAGUAAUGCCGCUAUUAAAAUUGAGAAUUCUGCUGAAGAAAAGUCUGUUGCUGCAUCAAAGAAGCAGAAUAAGCAGAUGGAAUCUUCAAUUGGGCAAAAAAGUGACGGUGAUGAGUACUGGGUUCCUCUCAAGUACCAUAGCUCCAAAAGUGAUAUCUCCUCUAGAUAUUUGCAGCAAAUGGCAACACUAGAAAGUUCUCCCAUAAAAUUUACAAUGAGCCCGUACGAUUAUGUUACUUCACUAUGUCCUGGAGUGAGCAACAGCAUGUUACCCAGGGGUCCUUCUAGAAGGUAUCUGCUAUCAUUACCUCCAGAAGAACGUCUUAAGAAAUUACUUGUCGAGGGCUCUUCACUACACCGUUUUAGUGCUGUUAAGCACUUUGCUCCUGAAUACUCUGAAGGUGAACUGCUGGAAUUCCUGCAGCAACACGCAUUACUAGUUCAAGGACUUUGGGCUCCAAAAGGUGCAUUGCUAUAUCCACAGGGUGGUGUGGAAAAUUUGGCCAGAGAUUAUGCACUGAUCCUGUUUAGUAGGAAUUUGAAAGUUCAGCUUUCCCAAUUGAAUAUUCGACCUGAACUUAGUAAACAUAUAAAAAACUUUCUGAAUAUAUUUGGUGAGGAAAGAAUUGAAAACUGGAAAUCUAGUGUGCAACCCAUUGUCUAUUGGAAGUUCAGAGAGCAGCCUGAUGAAUCAUUCAUCAAACGCCAUCCCCAUAUUGUUGCAAAGUGUAAAUUCACUUUGGAAGGCAUGGAAGAGCAGGUAUAUGGUGCUGUUUAUAAAGUUGGAAAAGGUGAACCUGGUAAAAAGGCUGUACCAAAGCUUGGCCAAAGCAGUAAGCCUGGACAGCUUGUGACUUCUGAUAAACGUGCAACUAGUGUGGGCAGAGUUGCUCCUGAGAGGAUGACCAUGUCAAGUGACACCCGACAAGCUCUGCCAAUUGCCCUUAAAAAACUCUUCCAAACUCAAGCAGUUUGCAGCUUUCAAACAAUAUGCAAAGAAUUGCGUGGAAUGGCGCUUUCUAAAUCUAUGCUUCCAAAGUCAGAUGCUAAAAUUGUUAGAGAUGCAGCACUUGGACUUGAUGCUCCACCAGAAGAACUGCAGGCCAUCAUAAGCGAAACUGCAUGCAAUAUCCAUGGUUUUUAUGUCCUGAAGUCAUCACAGGAUGAGCAUUUUAGGGAUGUUGUAAUUGAUAUGCUGCGUGGAAGUGGACCCAAUGCCAAGCUAAGGAGAGCUGAGGUACUUGAAGCUGCCAGAAGAAAACUCAAUAGGGAGGUGACUAACAGUGAGUAUAACAAGGUUGCCCCAUACAAACGUGCAGUGCCCUGAUAUAGAUCAGCUAUCAUCUUGAGAGCUAUGCCAGACUCACAUGACUUCUUAGUUCUUGCAUGGCAACCUCUUCCAAGUGUGCCUUUCAGAUACCUCAGAAUUUUGUACACCGCUUUAUGAUAUUUCUCUAUCAGAUUGGGAUGGCUGACCAUGCCUGCUGCGAAUGCAAUGUCCGCUCCAGUCUUGUGUGAUAAGAUAUACACAGCCCAUGCCCCAUGACUGCGCCUAGCGUCCCACUAGUCCAUCACUUCCUUUCCCUUAUAGAUACUGAGUGUGGUCAUGACCGAGUUAUGUGUCUCAAGGGGUUCUGUUUGGGUCUUGAAAACACACGAUCGAACUUUGUAAAAAUUGUAGGCCCUCCUGAUGAAGCAUAUUGAAAAAUAUUAUCGAGCUCUUGCGUGGACCUCCUGAUGAAGCAUAUUGAAAUAUAUUAUAUAGCUGCCCGGUGACGGAUCAUAUUCACCGAUUGACAGGAUAAAUUUGAUCAAGUGAUAUAUGGUCAUACUUUCUGCUUCAUCUGUUUGCUGCGUCGAGCGUGAUUUGAAGUUACGGUGAAGACAUUGAGCUCAAGCCUGCACUUCUUCUUAACUCAUUGUUCAUUGAUGUACUAACCUUUAGAAUGUUCAUAAACCUUGGUGUCAAUCAAUUAAAACAGCAGAACCUAGCAAUAUGUUAGUGGUAAUGGAUGGCCAACUAGCCAUUAUUUAUACCAUUGUUUUUCUUAAUUUCUGUAGUUGCUUAGUAAUACGAGAAAUGGAAAUAUUCGUUUAUUCAUAAUCAUGUAUCAUUUACUUGCGGCAUGCAA